This 433-nucleotide ribosomal RNA is filed under the name uncultured bacterium. RNAcentral describes it as "partial 16S ribosomal RNA". It matches the Rfam family "Bacterial small subunit ribosomal RNA", at positions 29 to 507 of the family's 1533-position model. The record is from RNAcentral.
AACGAACGCUGGCGGCAUGCCUAACACAUGCAAGUCGAACGAGACCUUCGGGUCUAGUGGCGCACGGGUGCGUAACGCGUGGGAACCUGCCCUUAGGUUCGGAAUAACUCCCCGAAAGGGGUGCUAAUACCGGUUAAUGUCUUCGGACCAAAGAUUUAUCGCCUUUGGAUGGGCCCGCGUUGGAUUAGCUAGUUGGUAGGGUAAAAGCCUACCAAGGCGACGAUCCAUAGCUGGUCGGAGAGGAUGAUCAGCCACACUGGGACUGAGACACGGCCCAGACUCCUACGGGAGGCAGCAGUGGGGAAUAUUGGACAAUGGGCGAAAGCCUGAUCCAGCAAUGCCGCGUGAGUGAUGAAGGCCUUAGGGUUGUAAAGCUCUUUUACCCGGGAUGAUAAUGACAGUACCGGGAGAAUAAGCUCCGGCUAACUCCGUG